Molecule: ribosomal RNA, 506 nt
Filed under: Metoligotoma extorris
Lineage: Eukaryota; Metazoa; Arthropoda; Insecta; Embioptera; Australembiidae
Description: partial 16S ribosomal RNA
Rfam family: Bacterial large subunit ribosomal RNA
Source: RNAcentral
CGCUUUUUGUUUUAAUAAAAGGUUGGUUCUGCUCAAUGAGGAUUUAAAUAGCCGCAGUAAACUGACUGUGCAAAGGUAGCAUAAUAAAUAGUUUAUUAAUUGUAAACUUGAAUGAAUGAAUUGACGAGAAAUAUACUGUCUCUAGAUUAGGAAUUUUGAAUUUAACUUUUAAGUUAAAAGGCUUAAAUUAACUUAUGGGACGAGAAGACCCUAUAGAACUUUAUUUAAUUAAAUUUAAAUUUUAUUUUUUUUAAAAUAAAUUUACUUAGAAUUAAAUUUAAUUGGGGUGAUUUGAAGAUAAGUUUAACUUUUUAUUUUUAAACUUAAAUUAAAGACUUAUUGAUCUUUAUUAAUGAUUAUAAGAAAAGUUACCUUAGGGAUAACAGCAUAAUUUUUUUGGAGAGUUCUAAUCAAUAAAAAAGUUUGUGACCUCGAUGUUGAAUUAAGAUAAAUAUUGGAUGCAGAAGUUUAAAAUAUUAGGUCUGUUCGACCUUUAAAAUCUUACA